CCUACGGGUGGCAGCAGUGAGGAAUAUUGGUCAAUGGACGAGAGCCUGAACCAGCCAAGUAGCGUGAAGGAUGACUGCCCUAUGGGUUGUAAACCUCUUUUAUAUGGGAAUAAAACGUUCCACGUGUGGGAUUUUGUAUGUAUCCUAUGAAUAAGGAUCGGCUAACUCCGUGCCAGCAGCCGCGGUAAUACGGAGGAUCCGAGCGUUAUCCGGAUUUAUUGGGUUUAAAGGGUGCGUAGGUGGAUUGUUAAGUCAGUUGUGAAAGUUUGCGGCUCAACCGUAAAAUUGCAGUUGAAACUGGCAGUCUUGAGUACAGUAGAGGUAGGCGGAAUUCGUGGUGUAGCGGUGAAAUGCUUAGAUAUCGCGAAGAACUCCGAUUGCGAAGGCAGUUCACUGGACUGAGACUGACACUGAGGCUCGAAAGUGUGGGUAUCAAACAGGAUUAGAUACCCCAGUAGUC
RNAcentral lists this ribosomal RNA (460 nucleotides) under uncultured bacterium. Its description in RNAcentral is "partial 16S ribosomal RNA". It matches the Rfam family "Bacterial small subunit ribosomal RNA", at positions 338 to 795 of the family's 1533-position model. The record is from RNAcentral.